This 29-nucleotide non-coding RNA is filed under the name Mus musculus (house mouse). Lineage: Eukaryota; Metazoa; Chordata; Mammalia; Rodentia; Muridae. The record is from RNAcentral.
UAGCAAAAGCUAUAAAGUGGUACCCGGGU